GCGGGAUCGCGAGGGCGCGAGCCGGGAAGGGCCCCGGCGCGGCGGGGCGGGCUGCCCCGGAGCUCGGCGGGGGUCGCGGCGGAGACAAGGCGGCCGCUGCGGGGAGAUGCCGCGCGAGGAAGUGGAUCGGGCGGGUACGCCGGGUGUGCGCACCUGCGCGCCGGGCAGCGGGGACCAGUGUGCUAGCCCAGGGAUGUUCUUCUCAUGGCAAUGACGGAGUGCAAGCAGACACAUGCACAGCCUCUAGAGGACUACAUUUGGCACCAGCUUACUGUCACUUUUGCCUCAUUCUGUUGACCACAAUCUUCUGAACAUGUCCCCAUUCCGUGAGCCCACAGUGAUCUGUUUGUUUUGCCUGGUCCCAGCUCAUGCAUUCUUCAAGUCUUGGUAACCAGGAUGUUUUGUCUGUUCAGGCUCUAAACGAUCAGUGGGACAGGAACCGAAGUUAAGUAGCUCAGGAUGCAUCAAGAUGAACUUGGGAAAACCGCGAGCCGCUGUGCUGACUGGACUGCUUCUCUGAAUCAGCUGGAACUUCUUUUUGUGUCUAGUUUUAAAAGCUCCUCGGAAGCAAUCCUAAAUCCAGAAUCGUUUCAAUUAUUAUGAGGGGAAUUCUGAAGUUCUCAUUAAACACACGAAUGACUCAAGCUUUGAAAAGAGCCAGAUGCCACAGGCAAGAAUCCCAGGGCAUUGCCCACCUGGGUGUGAUCCCCUGAUAACUGUCUAACGAACUCAGCAUGUGUCCCCCGGGGCAUGACCAUCUGCUGGGCAAAGCUCCAGGACCCUGAGACAUCCUGGAAUUCCUGUGGUUUAGGAAAGACCUUUAACUACCAGUGGUAGUUGUCUCAUCGUUCUUCAAAUAAUCUGGUCUUGUUUAUUAUUAUCAUUACUAUUUAAUUUUAUUUUAUUACAGCUGUACUUGGAGAAUAGUCCGGUCUUGAGGCCUUUUCACUGUGGUCUGUUCUAGUGUAUGGCUCCCACCAGUGUGAAGCAGAAGGAUGACUUUGCUCUGUUGUCAGGACAACCUUGAAGGAAGGAGCCAAAUGUGUGGAGGUCUGUG
This 1057-nucleotide long non-coding RNA is filed under the name Macaca mulatta (Rhesus monkey). Its description in RNAcentral is "lncRNA (ENSMMUG00000059457.1)". Lineage: Eukaryota; Metazoa; Chordata; Mammalia; Primates; Cercopithecidae. The record is from RNAcentral.